RNAcentral lists this ribosomal RNA (253 nucleotides) under uncultured bacterium. RNAcentral describes it as "partial 16S ribosomal RNA". It matches the Rfam family "Bacterial small subunit ribosomal RNA", at positions 524 to 776 of the family's 1533-position model. The record is from RNAcentral.
UACGUAGGGUGCAAGCGUUAAUCGGAAUUACUGGGCGUAAAGCGUGCGCAGGCGGUUUCGUAAGUCUGAUGUGAAAUCCCCGGGCUCAACCUGGGAAUUGCAUUGGAGACUGCGAGGCUAGAAUCUGGCAGAGGGGGGUAGAAUUCCACGUGUAGCAGUGAAAUGCGUAGAGAUGUGGAGGAACACCGAUGGCGAAGGCAGCCCCCUGGGUCAAGAUUGACGCUCAUGCACGAAAGCGUGGGGAGCAAACAGG